CCUCGGUCUCCAUAAUCUGUAA
RNAcentral lists this microRNA (22 nucleotides) under Monodelphis domestica (gray short-tailed opossum). Its description in RNAcentral is "mdo-miR-12301-3p". Lineage: Eukaryota; Metazoa; Chordata; Mammalia; Didelphimorphia; Didelphidae. The record is from miRBase by way of RNAcentral.